UAGCCUUUAGCAACACAAGUAUUAAAGGUCCUGCCUGCCCAGUGAAAACUUUUAAACGGCCGCGGUAUUCUAACCGUGCAAAGGUAGCGUAAUCACUUGUCUUCUAAAUAAAGACCAGUAUGAACGGCUAAAUGAGGACAAGCCUGUCUCCUACAACCAAUCAGUGAAACUGAUCUCCCAGUACAAAAGCUGGAAUAUUAACAUUAGACGAGAAGACCCUGUGGAGCUUAAAACCAACCUAGUACAAACACACUAGUAUAAGUUUUAAGUUGGGGCGACUUCGGAAAAAAACAAAACUUCCGAGCACAGAACCACCAGUUCUAACUGAGGCCAACAAGCCAAAGCAAAAAUUGACCCAGUCCACACUGAUCAACGAACCAAGUUACCCCAGGGAUAACAGCGCCAUCCCCUCCAAGAGUCCAUAUCGACAAGGGGGUUUACGACCUCGAUGUUGGAUCAGGGCACCCCAAUGGUGCAGCCGCUAUUAAAGGUUCGUUUGUUCAACGAUUAACAGCC
This 516-nucleotide ribosomal RNA is filed under the name Lerista wilkinsi. Its description in RNAcentral is "partial 16S ribosomal RNA". It matches the Rfam family "Bacterial large subunit ribosomal RNA", at positions 1816 to 2595 of the family's 2925-position model. The record is from RNAcentral. Lineage: Eukaryota; Metazoa; Chordata; Lepidosauria; Squamata; Scincidae.